Molecule: ribosomal RNA, 429 nt
Filed under: Pseudomonadota bacterium
Lineage: Bacteria; Pseudomonadati; Pseudomonadota
Description: Proteobacteria bacterium partial 16S ribosomal RNA
Rfam family: Bacterial small subunit ribosomal RNA
Source: RNAcentral
UGGGGAAUAUUGGACAAUGGGCGAAAGCCUGAUCCAGCCAUGCCGCGUGUGUGAAGAAGGUCUUCGGAUUGUAAAGCACUUUAAGUUGGGAGGAAGGGCAGUAAGCGAAUACCUUGCUGUUUUGACGUUACCGACAGAAUAAGCACCGGCUAACUCUGUGCCAGCAGCCGCGGUAAUACAGAGGGUGCAAGCGUUAAUCGGAAUUACUGGGCGUAAAGCGCGCGUAGGUGGUUCGUUAAGUUGAAUGUGAAAGCCCCGGGCUCAACCUGGGAACAGCAUCCAUAACAAGCGGGCUAGAGUAGUGCAGGAGGUGGUGGAAUUUCUUGUGUAGCAGUGAAAUGCGGAGAUAUAGGAAGGAACACCAGUGGCGAAGGCGACCACCUGGGCUAAUACUGACAAUGAGGUGCGAAAGCGUGGGGAGCAAACAGG